This 442-nucleotide ribosomal RNA is filed under the name uncultured bacterium. Its description in RNAcentral is "partial 16S ribosomal RNA". It matches the Rfam family "Bacterial small subunit ribosomal RNA", at positions 338 to 795 of the family's 1533-position model. The record is from RNAcentral.
CCUACGGGUGGCAGCAGUGGGGGAUAUUGCUCAAUGGGCGAAACCCUGAUGCAGCGACGCCGCGUGGGCGAAGAAGUAUCUCGGUAUGUAAAGCCCUUUUUGCAGGGAAGAAGAAAUGACGGUACCUGAGUAUGAAGCACUGGCUAAAGACGAGGCAGCAGCCGCGGGCAUACGUAUGGUGCAAGCGUUAGUCGGAAGUCCUGGGUGGAAAGGGAGCGCAGGCGGCACGGCAAGCCUGAUGUGAAAGCUAGCGGACCAACCGGGGGACUGCAUUGGAAACUACCGGGCUGGAGUGCCGGAGAGGUAGGCGGAAUGCCUGGUGUAGCGGUGAAAUGCGUAGAUAUUAGGAGGAACCCCAGUGGCGAAGGCGGCCUACUGGACGGUGACUGACGCUGAGGCUCGAAAGCGUGGGGAGCAAACAGGAUUAGAUACCCCAGUAGUC